RNAcentral lists this long non-coding RNA (418 nucleotides) under Setaria viridis. Its description in RNAcentral is "long non-coding RNA (SVIR_LNC008084)". Lineage: Eukaryota; Viridiplantae; Streptophyta; Magnoliopsida; Poales; Poaceae. The record is from RNAcentral.
ACGAAAGAAAAUAGUCAACUUUUUUUUUUAUUCCAUGAGGUUGAGUUCUACACUUUGAUUGGUUCUUAAAAGAUAAGAGAGGUCAAGAUUGUUUAGUGUGGUCAAGUUUUGCAUUGUAUGGAACAUGCUACACCUAGGGUUAUCAUUAGGAUCAGAUCAGACAUUGAACCAUUGAGUCUCAAGUUUGCGGUUCGCUAAGCUCAACAUGUAUACAAAAUGUCGACUGAUUCGCAGGCGUGGCCGAAUUAGAGUCAUUUGUUCCAAUGUUCAACAUGGCUCAAAUAUAACCAAUUCUAUGUCCAAACCGCAAACACAUUCAUGGUUUGGUGUGAGAAUCCUGUCCUCCAAAGGCGGUUGGGGAUUUGAACCCUUAUUCGACAAGGUUCUUUGUUUUUCACCUAUUUUCUCCUACUUCCCC